RNAcentral lists this ribosomal RNA (1355 nucleotides) under uncultured archaeon. RNAcentral's name for it is "bacterial SSU rRNA". It matches the Rfam family "Archaeal small subunit ribosomal RNA", at positions 20 to 1338 of the family's 1478-position model. The record is from RNAcentral.
GAGAUCACCACUAUUGGGGUUCGAUUAAGCCAUGCGAGUUUUUGGCAGCAAUGCCAAGGCGAACUGCUGAGUAACACGUAGUCAACCUGCCCUUUAGUCUGGAAUAACCUCGGGAAACUGAGGAUAAUACCGGAUAGAAGAUAAUGCCUGGAACGGUUUAUCUUCCAAAGCUUCGGCGCUAAAGGAUGGGACUGCGGUGGAUUAGGUUGAUGUUAAGGUAAUGACUUAACAUGCCUGUAAUCUAUAGGGGCUUUGAGAGAAGUAGCCUCCAGAUGGGUUCUGAGACACGAACCCAGGCCCUACGGGGCGCAGCAGGCGCGAAACCUCUACAAUGCACGCAAGUGUGAUAGGGGAACCCCAAGUGCCGGCAUACUAUGUCGGCUUUUUAGGAGUUUAAAUUGCUCUUAGAAUAAGUGAUGGGUAAGACCGUUGCCAGCCGCCGCGGUAAUAACGGCGUCACAAGUGGUGGUCACGAAUAUUGGGUCUAAAGCAUCCGUAGCCGGUUUAUUAAGUCUCCUGUGAAAUCUGACAGAAAACUGUCAGGCGUGCAGGAGAUACUGAUAAACUAGGAACCGGGAGGGGUUAGGGGUACUUCUAGGGUAGCGGUGGAAUGCUGUAAUCCUAGAGGGACCACCUGUGGCGAAGGCGCCUAACUGGAACGGAUUCGACGGUGAGGGAUGAAAGCCAGGGGAGCAAAGGGGAUUAGAUAUCGAAAAUCGGAGAUUUUCUGCAUUUAGCCGAUUCUCGACUAAAUACCCCCGUAGUCCUGGCUGUAAACGAUGCCCGCUUGGUAUUGGGAACCUUACGUGGGUUUCCAGUGCCGUAGGGAAGCCGUUAAGCGGGCCACCUGGGGAGUACGGUCGCAAGGCUGAAACUUAAAGGAAUUGGCGGGGAGCACACAAGGGGUGUAGUCUGCGGUUUAAUUGGACUCAACGCCGGGAAACUCACCAAGGGUGACAGCACUGUGAUGGUCAGUCUAAAGGGCUUACCUGAGGCGCUGAGAGGUAUUGCAUGGCCGACGUCAGCUCGUGCCGCAAGGUGUCCUGUUAAGUCAGGUAACGAGCGAGACCCGCACCUUAUGUUGCCAGCUUGUUCUUCGGAACUCGCGCACUCAUAAGGUACUGCUCGCGAUAAGUGAGAGGAAGGUGCGGUCAACGUUAGGUCAGUAUGGUCCGAAUCCCUUGGGCGACACGCGGGCGACAAUGGUAGGGACAAUAGGAUGCAACUCCGAAAGGAGGAGCUAAUCCCUGAAACCCUAUCUUAGUACAGAUUGUGGCUUGCAACUCAGCCACAUGACGCCGGAAUCCCUAGUAAUCGAAAGUUAGCAUCUUUCGGUGAAUACGUCCCUGCUCCUU